CUCAGGAUGAACGCUGGCGGCGUGCCUAACACAUGCAAGUCGAGCGAUCUUCUUCGGAAGAGAGCGGCGGACGGGUGAGUAACGCGUGGGUAACCUGCCCUGUACACACGGAUAACAUACCGAAAGGUAUGCUAAUACGAGAUAAUAUGCUUUUAUCGCAUGGUAGAAGUAUCAAAGCUCCGGCGGUACAGGAUGGACCCGCGUCUGAUUAGCUAGUUGGUAAGGUAACGGCUUACCAAGGCGACGAUCAGUAGCCGACCUGAGAGGGUGAUCGGCCACAUUGGAACUGAGACACGGUCCAAACUCCUACGGGAGGCAGCAGUGGGGAAUAUUGCACAAUGGGCGAAAGCCUGAUGCAGCAACGCCGCGUGAGCGAUGAAGGCCUUCGGGUCGUAAAGCUCUGUCCUCAAGGAAGAUAAUGACGGUACUUGAGGAGGAAGCCCCGGCUAACUACGUG
RNAcentral lists this ribosomal RNA (457 nucleotides) under uncultured bacterium. Its description in RNAcentral is "bacterial SSU rRNA". It matches the Rfam family "Bacterial small subunit ribosomal RNA", at positions 23 to 507 of the family's 1533-position model. The record is from RNAcentral.